GGUAAGUUCUCCGAUUCCGUUCCAAGAAUUAAUCAUAUGAGAUAUACCAUGAUGUUAUGAAGAUGUUAUUAAUGAAAUUUUAUGGUUUUAGGCAGCCCAGAACGUUACCAAACAGUCCCUAAGUUUCAGCUGCGCGAAAGGAAAUUCCGAGGCAAGUUUUGGCGAGUUUUGGUGAAUUUCGGGAAAGGUUCAAGAGACGACGAGGCGAGCAUAGUUAAGAGUAAUCCGUAAGAGGUACAGAUGAUUGGUUUGCUGAUCCGCUCGCUUAGGACAUCCACCAUGUUGGUCGACAGUGCUCCUUUGUCCGGAGCCCUAUUUUGGGUACUGACACUUUCUGUUGUAUAUAUAUAUAUAUAUACGUUGUUUAGGGUACGGCGGGGCCCUGUCCCGUCAUAUGACUAGGAUAUCAGUCUGUAGAGGUCUGUAGACAUGAGAUGUGGGUUUUGUAUAUAUGUUUUGGGUUUUGUGUGUUUCGUUAUGGCCUAUCGGCCCUCGUGCGUUAUAUCUAUUUUGUGAUCUAUUUAGAGAUCCCUUCUGAUCAUUACCUAUGUUUAU
This is a long non-coding RNA of Solanum dulcamara, 555 nucleotides long. RefSeq lists it as uncharacterized. NCBI's taxonomy places the organism in Eukaryota, Viridiplantae, Streptophyta, Magnoliopsida, Solanales, Solanaceae. The transcript is spliced from 3 exons. The record is from RefSeq and is a predicted model, not a curated record.